UGAACGCUGGCGGCGUGCCUACUACAUGCAAGUCGAGCGAACAGAUGAGGAGCUUGCUCCUCUGACGUUAGCGGCGGACGGGUGAGUAACACGUGGAUAACCUACCUAUAAGACUGGGAUAACUUCGGGAAACCGGAGCUAAUACCGGAUAAUAUAUUGAACCGCAUGGUUCAAUAGUGAAAGACGGUUUUGCUGUCAUUUAUAGAUGGAUCCGCGCCGCAUUAGCUAGUUGGUAAGGUAACGGCUUACCAAGGCAACGAUGCGUAGCCGACCUGAGAGGGUGAUCGGCCACACUGGAACUGAGACACGGUCCAGACUCCUACGGGAGGCAGCAGUAGGGAAUCUUCCGCAAUGGGCGAAAGCCUGACGGAGCAACGCCGCGUGAGUGAUGAAGGUCUUCGGAUCGUAAAACUCUGUUAUUAGGGAAGAACAAAUGUGUAAGUAACUAUGCACGUCUUGACGGUACCUAAUCAGAAAGCCACGGCUAACUACGUG
RNAcentral lists this ribosomal RNA (495 nucleotides) under uncultured bacterium. Its description in RNAcentral is "partial 16S ribosomal RNA". It matches the Rfam family "Bacterial small subunit ribosomal RNA", at positions 30 to 507 of the family's 1533-position model. The record is from RNAcentral.